GACGCUUUGGUGGAGUGGUUAACACGUAUCCCUGCUAUUACGCUGGCAACCUGCAUUCGCAGGGGUCAGGAUAUCCUCUCUGAGGGCGUGAGUUCGAAUCUCACAGGCGUCG
Molecule: non-coding RNA, 112 nt
Organism: Melanopsichium pennsylvanicum
Lineage: Eukaryota; Fungi; Basidiomycota; Ustilaginomycetes; Ustilaginales
Source: the annotation of a GenBank genome assembly